GACGAACGCUGGCGGCGUGCCUAAUACAUGCAAGUAGAACGCUGGAGGAGGAGCUUGCUCUUCUGGAUGAGUUGCGCACGGGUGAGUAACGCGUAGGUAACCUGCCUGGUAGCGGGGGAUAACUAUUGGAAACGAUAGCUAAUACCGCAUAACAGUAGAUGUUGCAUGACAUUUGCUUAAAAAGUGCAAUUUUACCAUUACCAGUUGGACCUCCCUCGUAUUAGUUAGUUGGUGGGGUAAAGGCGCAACAAGGCGACGACACAAAGUCGGCCAGAGGGGGGGGACGGCCAACACUGGAACGGGAACAGGCCCAGGACUCCAAGGGGGGCAGCAAUAAGGGAUCUUUGGGAAUUGGCGGAAGGCUGACCGGGCAACGCCGGGUGGAUGAAGGAAGUUUUCGGAUUGUAAAGAUCUGUUGAAAGGGGAGAACGAGUGGUAUAGUGGAAAGUGCACACUGUGACGGUAUCUAACCAGAAAGCGACGGCUAACUACGUG
RNAcentral lists this ribosomal RNA (495 nucleotides) under uncultured bacterium. RNAcentral's name for it is "partial 16S ribosomal RNA". It matches the Rfam family "Bacterial small subunit ribosomal RNA", at positions 28 to 507 of the family's 1533-position model. The record is from RNAcentral.